UACAGGGGGUGCAAACGUUGCUCGGAAUCAUUGGGCGUAAAGCGCACGUAGGCGGUCUGUUAUGUCGGAUGUGAAAGCCCUUGGCUUAACUGAGGAAGUGCAUCCGAAACUGGCAGGCUAGAGUACUAAAGAGGGUCGCGGAAUUCCCGGUGUAGAGGUGAAAUUCGUAGAUAUCGGGAGGAACACCAGUGGCGAAGGCGACUACCUGGCCUGUUUCUUGACGCUGAGGCGCGAAAGCUAGGGGAGCAAACAGG
Molecule: ribosomal RNA, 254 nt
Filed under: uncultured bacterium
Lineage: Bacteria
Description: partial 16S ribosomal RNA
Rfam family: Bacterial small subunit ribosomal RNA
Source: RNAcentral